This is a long non-coding RNA of Periophthalmus magnuspinnatus, 188 nucleotides long. RefSeq lists it as uncharacterized. The transcript is spliced from 3 exons. NCBI's taxonomy places the organism in Eukaryota, Metazoa, Chordata, Actinopteri, Gobiiformes, Gobiidae. The record is from RefSeq and is a predicted model, not a curated record.
UGAACUCUCUCCCCAAGAAGCACAAGCUGCCUCAGAGGAAGAUGCCUGAAAAUGGGAGGAGCCACAGAAAAAGAGGGAGGGAUCACAAAAACGAAGCAUGGAUUUCCUCACAUGAAGGACAUCAAUGUUGGAGAUGGCGUAGAAGUAUUUGAGCAGGUUGUCUCUCUGGACGUAGGUGCCUCCGAGGG